UACGAAGGGGGCGAGCGUUGUUCGGAUUUACUGGGCGUAAAGGGCGCGUAUGCGGCCUGCUAAGUCGAACGUGAAAUCCCCGGGCUCAACCCGGGAACUGCGUCCGAUACUGGCUGGCUUGAAUCCGGGAGAGGGAUGCGGAAUUCCAGGUGUAGCGGUGAAAUGCGUAGAUAUCUGGAGGAACACCGGUGGCGAAGGCGGCAUCCUGGACCGGCAUUGACGCUGAGGCGCGAAAGCCAGGGGAGCAAACGGG
This 253-nucleotide ribosomal RNA is filed under the name uncultured bacterium. RNAcentral's name for it is "partial 16S ribosomal RNA". It matches the Rfam family "Bacterial small subunit ribosomal RNA", at positions 524 to 776 of the family's 1533-position model. The record is from RNAcentral.